UAAGUUACUAAGGGCACACGGGGGAUGCCUUGGCUCUCAGAGGCGAAGAAAGACGUGAUAAGCUGCGAUAAGGUUCGGGGAGGAGCAAAUAUCUUUUGAUCCGGACAUUUCUGAAUGGGGAAACCCGGCUGGUUGAAGACCAGUCAUCCGAAAGGAGGCAAACCCGCUGAACUGAAACAUCUAAGUAGGCGGAGGAAGAGAAAACAAUAGUGAUUUCCGUAGUAGCGGCGAGCGAAGUGGAAAUAGCCCAAACCGGUUUUGUUUCGGCAAAAUCGGGGUUGUAGGACUACAAUGUCCGUAAGCAAGUAUAGCAGAACAUUCUGGAAAGUUUGGCGAUAUAGGUGACAGCCCUGUAUGCGAAAUGCUUGUGAAGGUAGUAGUAUCCUGAGUAGGGCGGGACAUGUGAA
RNAcentral lists this ribosomal RNA (407 nucleotides) under uncultured Symbiodinium. RNAcentral describes it as "partial Bacterial large subunit ribosomal RNA". It matches the Rfam family "Bacterial large subunit ribosomal RNA", at positions 4 to 430 of the family's 2925-position model. The record is from RNAcentral. Lineage: Eukaryota; Dinophyceae; Suessiales; Symbiodiniaceae.